GUUCUUGUAGUUGAAUAACAACGGUGAUUUUUCAGGUCAUUAGUCAUGGUUUAAGUCCAUGUAGGAAUU
This 69-nucleotide transfer RNA is filed under the name Tarsius dentatus (Dian's tarsier). RNAcentral describes it as "tRNA-Glu". It matches the Rfam family "tRNA". From Rfam's summary of the family: Transfer RNA (tRNA) molecules are approximately 80 nucleotides in length. Their secondary structure includes four short double-helical elements and three loops (D, anti-codon, and T loops). The record is from RNAcentral. Lineage: Eukaryota; Metazoa; Chordata; Mammalia; Primates; Tarsiidae.